RNAcentral lists this ribosomal RNA (457 nucleotides) under uncultured Sphingobacteriales bacterium. RNAcentral's name for it is "bacterial SSU rRNA". It matches the Rfam family "Bacterial small subunit ribosomal RNA", at positions 924 to 1382 of the family's 1533-position model. Lineage: Bacteria; Pseudomonadati; Bacteroidota; Sphingobacteriia; Sphingobacteriales. The record is from RNAcentral.
CACAAGCGGUGGAGCAUGUGGUUUUAAUUCGAUGAUACGCGAGGAACCUUACCUGGGCUCAAAUGUAUGUUGACGUAUUCUGAAAGGGAUACUUCUUCGGACAAUAUACAAGGUGCUGCAUGGUUGUCGUCAGCUCGUGCCGUGAGGUGUCGGGUUAAGUCCCAUAACGAGCGCAACCCCUACCUUUAGUUGCCAUCAGGUUAAGCUGGGGACUCUAAAGGAACUGCCUACGCAAGUAGUGAGGAAGGCGGGGAUGACGUCAAAUCAGCACGGCCCUUACGUCCAGGGCUACACACGUGCUACAAUGGCCGAUACAGAGGGCAGCUACCUGGUGACAGGAUGCAAAUCUCCAAAGUCGGUCUCAGUUCGGAUCGGAGUCUGCAACCCGACUCCGUGAAGUUGGAUUCGCUAGUAAUCGCGCAUCAGCCAUGGCGCGGUGAAUACGUUCCCGGGCCUU